RNAcentral lists this long non-coding RNA (427 nucleotides) under Helianthus annuus (common sunflower). RNAcentral describes it as "sRNA HanXRQr2_Chr10g0450521". Lineage: Eukaryota; Viridiplantae; Streptophyta; Magnoliopsida; Asterales; Asteraceae. The record is from RNAcentral.
UAAUCCACACUCUAAUCGAUCCUUCAAAACAAAUACGCCAGGGGAGUGGUGCAGCGGAUUUAUUGUGGAUCUUAGGGUUUUGGUGAAAUUGGAUGUGGGGCAGCAGUGGUGCAGCAGCGUUGCAAACGGCUGUUGACCGGAAAAACGAUCAGGCUGCGGCAAAAAAAUAGGGUUUUGUUUUUGGUGGGCUGCGGCAAAAAACGAAUUGAAAGGUUUGUAUGAUACUUUGAGUGAAACAAGUUACAGAAGACACAGGAGAUGAUUCCGGCGAAAACGAACUAGCCGAAGUCGAUCAGAUCUGAUUGAAUAACCACAAACAGUUUGAAUGAUCGAUUGGAUCUGGGUUCCUGAGGGUUUGAGAUUGGAUUUGGCUGGGAUGAACAAACACACUAAGGAUCAGAAACUCUGCUCUGAUAUCAUGUUGUGA